CUAAAGGUCCCUAGUUCAAUCCUGGGCAGCAAUAUAGUAAGUAUAUUUUUCUUAUUAUUUUUAACCUAGUUUCAUUAAGUUUAUACUGAGAGCACAAAUUUAGUUGCCUAGUGCAUAACUUAUGUUUGAAGUUGCUGUGGUGUAGUGGUUAUCACGUUAGGCUUACACACUAAAGGUCCUCAGUUCGAUCCCGGGCAGCAAUAUAGUAAGUAUAUUAUUCUUUUUAUUUUAACCUAGUUUCAUGAGGUUCAUUCCUUUUAUUUAAACUAAUUUCACCAAGUUUAUACUAAGUGCACAAAUUUAGUUGCCUGGUGCACAACUUAUGUUUGAAGUUGUUGUGGUGUAGUGGUUAUCACGUUAGUCUUACACACUAAAGGUCCCCAGCCCAAUCUUGAGCAGCAAUAUAUCGAAAUGCAGAGCAAAUGCUCGAUGAAAGGCCAUACAGAGAAUGAUGCAUGAGAAUUGUUGAAGAUUCGGCCAAAGUUUCGCAGUACUUUUGAUGUAACUUUUAUAUUACCGACAACCUGAGGAAGACAGCGAUUAGGGUUGUCUGCUGUGCUGCUUGCAAAAGCUUUGGAAGUCCUUUUCAAGGGGACAAGCAUAAAAUGAUGCUUCUCCAUGACCACGAAAACUGAAUCAGCACACAACCCAUUUUCCCUAGCAAGCUUAUGACUCUACACAAAUAAUAUACAUUGACCGAACUGCUUUGGGAUUGAAUGGCAAUGGAGGAAACUACUGGACCAACCAGGUCUAAACCAAGGAAGGGCAGGCUGCCUCCCAAAAGAGGAAGUAUCAAACUAAAAAUAAUAUCCAAGUUCUUUGAGAAGGUGGUUGGAUUUGCAUCAAAGUUAGCAGGACAACAGAAACAAAAGGGCGUGGAUCGAGCUACAACAGAAGAACCAUAGCCUAGACGACUAUGCGCCCAAGCUCAAUGCAGCCAAUGAGAUCAUUAUGAUGAGUGUAUGCUACUAGUUUUAUUCUACUAUGUAUAAAUAGUAUUUCUAUGUUGUUCGCAUGCCAUGGUCAAACCUACUACAUUAUGCAACCAUGCUUGAUCUCUACUAUGUAACAAUCUUGUGCUAUAAAGAAAUAAUUUUAUGUUACUUACAUUCACCAUUGGACAAUCAAAUCAUGCAUGCUCUUGAGAUCAGCCCAUAUAAAGUGGGAAAAGUGGGAAAAAUUAAACGAUGCCUCAAUGAUUGAAAUAUUUAUAUUUUUAGCUUUGUCUCCAU
Molecule: long non-coding RNA, 1232 nt
Organism: Cucurbita moschata (crookneck pumpkin)
Lineage: Eukaryota; Viridiplantae; Streptophyta; Magnoliopsida; Cucurbitales; Cucurbitaceae
Exons: 3
Source: RefSeq, a predicted model, not a curated record